GACCUAUCAACUCGAGACGGCGGGGUAGAGGCCCGCCGCGGUAACGACGGGUAACGGGGAAUCAGGGUUCGAUUCCGGAGAGGGAGCCCCGAGAAACGGCUACCACCUUCCAAGGAAGGCAGCAGGCGCGCAACUUACCCUAAUCUCGAUUCGAGGAGGUAGUGACAAGAAAUACCGAUGCGGGACCCUACGGGUGCCGCGUUCGGAAUGAGUACGAUUCGAACCACCUAACGAGGAACGAUCGGAGGGCAAGUCUGGUGCCAGCAGCCGCGGUAAUUCCCGAGCUCCAAUAGCGUACGUUAAAGUUGCUGCAGUUAAAAAGCUCGUAGUUUGAACGUUCGGGUUCCGCGGGGACGGGGCCGCCCCGCGAGGGACGGCGCCGCCCCGGGGCUCGUGAUAUCUCGAUCUCGCGCCCCGUCGCGAGGCGGACGGAGGGAU
RNAcentral lists this ribosomal RNA (438 nucleotides) under uncultured eukaryote. RNAcentral describes it as "bacterial SSU rRNA". It matches the Rfam family "Eukaryotic small subunit ribosomal RNA", at positions 309 to 742 of the family's 1831-position model. The record is from RNAcentral.